GAAGGGGCCAAGCCUAUACAUGCAAGUCGAGCGAAUGGAUUAAGAGCUUGCUCUUAUGAAGUUAGCGGCGGACGGGUGAGUAACACGUGGGUAACCUGCCCAUAAGACUGGGAUAACUCCGGGAAACCGGGGCUAAUACCGGAUAACAUUUUGAACUGCAUGGUUCGAAAUUGAAAGGCGGCUUCGGCUGUCACUUAUGGAUGGACCCGCGUCGCAUUAGCUAGUUGGUGAGGUAACGGCUCACCAAGGCAACGAUGCGUAGCCGACCUGAGAGGGUGAUCGGCCACACUGGGACUGAGACACGGCCCAGACUCCUACGGGAGGCAGCAGUAGGGAAUCUUCCGCAAUGGACGAAAGUCUGACGGAGCAACGCCGCGUGAGUGAUGAAGGCUUUCGGGUCGUAAAACUCUGUUGUUAGGGAAGAACAAGUGCUAGUUGAAUAAGCUGGCACCUUGACGGUACCUAACCAGAAAGCCACGGCUAACUACGUGCCAGCAGCCGCGGUAAUACGUAGGUGGCAAGCGUUAUCCGGAAUUAUUGGGCGUAAAGCGCGCGCAGGUGGUUUCUUAAGUCUGAUGUGAAAGCCCACGGCUCAACCGUGGAGGGUCAUUGGAAACUGGGAGACUUGAGUGCAGAAGAGGAAAGUGGAAUUCCAUGUGUAGCGGUGAAAUGCGUAGAGAUAUGGAGGAACACCAGUGGCGAAGGCGACUUUCUGGUCUGUAACUGACACUGACGCACGAAAGC
This 744-nucleotide ribosomal RNA is filed under the name Bacillus cereus. RNAcentral's name for it is "bacterial SSU rRNA". It matches the Rfam family "Bacterial small subunit ribosomal RNA", at positions 35 to 760 of the family's 1533-position model. The record is from RNAcentral. Lineage: Bacteria; Bacillati; Bacillota; Bacilli; Caryophanales; Bacillaceae.